RNAcentral lists this long non-coding RNA (2840 nucleotides) under Lynx pardinus (Iberian lynx). Lineage: Eukaryota; Metazoa; Chordata; Mammalia; Carnivora; Felidae. The record is from RNAcentral.
AGGUCUUGAGAUGGGCAACAGAGCUAGAAGACCCCGCUCGGUACCCCAAGUGCUCGUGCUAGUGAUGUCAUUAAGCUACUAGAGCAUAUUAAUGAGAUUUUUUUCUAAGAUCUGCCCUUUUCCCUCCCCCAGACCCCCAGCAGCUAUCUCCUCAGUAACACACACAUGGGCCUUGGUAUCUGACACCCAUCAGCCAGCUUCACGGGGAAGAAGCCACCUCCACUCUUAACUUGAUGUUUCAACUUUUUUUUUUUUUUUUAACUUUUCCUACCUUCUUGUCCCUCACCCGCCGCCCCUCCGCCCACUCGCUCACUCACUCUCACUCACCCGCCCUGCUCCACACUUCUUCGGUAGUAAAUGACACCAUCACCAGCAGUCUACACCCGCAGUUAACAGGCAUUGAACUGAAAGAACCAGUGAGGACGUUUUGGUACGCCCUCGCCGGGUGGGUAAGUGGCAACGCUUUGCCAAAUAUUAACGAAGCCAAUCAAAAAGCAGCAGCAGCCACAGUAUCACUGCACAUAUAUAUAUAUAGAUAUAUAAAUAUAAUAUAAAUAUUUAUUUUUUGUAGCCAGGUCCUUGGUGCAGUAUUUAUACUCCACAAUUCACCUUUAAAAAAGGACAAAAAGCAAAAAGACGUGUGAUGCUGUUAACUUAAAAUGCAGAGCCAAAGCCACUGAGCAGCAGCUGACACGGUUGCUGGUUUGUGUGUGCAAAACACCUUCCCCUCUUCUUCCCUUAACCUCCUUGCUGCUCAGGCUGAGGAGACUCCGUAAUUCAGAGGGCGAGAGCAGCGAAACCUUCCCGAGUCAACGUGACCUACUCCCACUUCUCUAAAUGAGCCACUUUCGGUGUCGGAAGUUGACUGGGGAGAAGUAAGCAGAAGCUCCCGGUCAAAGCCCCUGGAACGACAGUGCCCAGAGUUCUGUUCUUUUCCGCCGCAACCCGUGUAAAUUUGUAAAAGACCACUAGUGAAGAUGAGUGUAUUAGUGAAUGCAUGGAGGCCAACACUGCUCUAAAUGAGACGUGAUACAAAGUACAUCACUACUAUAAGCCAAGAGGAAACAAAAUAAAAAUGACCCUUUUUACUGUACAAGGGAAGCCUGUCUUGGUGUCCGUCUGUUGCUUGACUCUCCCGAUUCUUGAGUCCUGGGAGGGGUCUGGGAAUUGGGACCUUAGCACGUGUGGGGAAAGGAGGGGAACGGAAGGGAGAGAGAUCAGGGUCUCUCGCUAAGUUCUGGCUGAGAAGUAGAGAUUGGAGAGAAAAGCAAGGUCCUGCCCACCAACCCCCCACCGCCCCCCCCANNNNNNNNNNNNNNNNNNNCCCCCCCCAGACCCCCACUCACCCAUUGCAUGUGAUGUUCUCCCCACUCCCGGGCCAGUGCUUAACCGUCCACAAAACCCCUUCUUCACCAGUCCACCUGGCAGAGCCCCCCAAGAUGAUGUCAGCCAACCCAGCCGGGCUGGCCUCACUUCUGCCUUUCUCACCAGUACGUUAAGGAAAGAGCUAUGCCGAUGCCCCAAAGCUCGGGCGAGCACGAUGCCCAACAGCCUCCACUCUGCUAGCUAACGCUGGGCCCUGCCCUCCAUCACCCCAACACAUACACCAGCAGACUACGGCUGGUCUCGUUCACAUCCGUGCAGGGGAGACGGGCACCGCUCCCCUCCCUCACCCUGCCCUGCUUUGGGGACAUCCCUCUCUAGGCCAUGUCUCCUGGUCCAGGAACACUCUCAGGAGGAUUCUGAAGUGCCCACUCUAGUCUGGCUGGUAGGUCAGUCCCCAUCCUCCUCCCCUCGGCCCCAGCCUCCAGGCCUGCUGUGGAGGUGAGAUCGCCAUGGGUUACGACUUUGUGACUUGAGUCCUGGGCGUCUUCUGCAAUGAUGCCUAUUUCUUUUCUCAGAUGUUGCCCAAAGUCUUGCAAAAAGCUUCGUUCAUUUUCAGGUACCCCUACCCCCUAAAGAAUCGGCUGCAACUAGCCAGCCAGGGGGACAUCAGGAGAGAGGAGGAAGUCUGGGUCGGGAGGGGCCCAAGGUUUGCACAGAGUCUGCUUUGUGGCUCAGCUCUGUGCCUUCUUGGAUUCCUUUUCCAAGAUGUCCUCCAUUAAAAUGCUCCUGAGGCACCCCCUGCCCCUGCCCCCCACUGCUGUUUGCUGUACAUAGAGGCUAAGUGGGGUGGGGUGGGCGGGUGUGCACGUGUGAUGUGUGUGUGUGAAGAAUGUAUAUAGGUAAAGGGGAGCGUGGUCCAGUGGUUCCAGAAAAGGGGCAGAACUCCUGUGUUCCAUCCCCAGCUCAACCACUGGCUCGCUGUGUGGCCUUGGGCAAGUCACUUAACCUCUCUGUGCCUCAGUUUCCUCAUCUGUAAAAUGGGGAUAAUAAUACUGACCUACCUCACAGGGGUGUUGUGAGGCUUUAACUAAAUGUUUUGUAAAGUGUUUUGAGAUACAGAGGCAAAGGCACUAGGGAAGGGCAAAGAAUUAUUUGGACUUAAGGAAGAUGAAAUGGUACCAUAAAUGCUGCUAUUCUGAGAGCCAUUUUAAACUGCACUGCUCCAAUCACCCCCGCUUCUCAUCACCAGGACAGCAGGUCGAGAAAAUGUCUUUCCUUUCACUUGCUUCUGGGGUUUGUGAUUAUUCUAGACACUUAAUUUUUUUCCCUCGCUGUAUCUCCUUCCCUCACCACCUCGACUUGUUCCCUGUUCCGUUUACGCGGAAAUGGCAGAAAUGCUUGAGAAAUGAGAAUGCAUAAGUGGAUUGGAAGUUUAUAGUCUGAAAUUUCAAUUUUACUUUGUACUGUACAUCUUUUUACUUUAGAAUUUGCAAUAAAGGGUUACGUCAAUCUUG